UUAAGUGACUAAGCGUACAAGGUGGAUGCCUUGGCAAUCAGAGGCGAAGAAGGACGUGCUAAUCUGCGAAAAGCUUGGAUGAGUCGAUAAGAGGCGUUUAAUCCAAGAUAUCCGAAUGGGGAAACCCAGUAGAUGAAGAAUCUACUAUCACUUACUGAAUCCAUAGGUAAGUGAGGCAAACCGGGAGAACUGAAACAUCUAAGUACCCCGAGGAAAAGAAAUCAACCGAGAUUUCGUUAGUAGCGGCGAGCGAAAGCGAAAGAGCCUGUUAAUGAUAGCAGCAGAGAUAGAGGAAUAAGCUGGGAAGCUUAGCGACACAGGGUGAUAGCCCCGUACUCGACAUCCAGGCUGUGGUACUAAGUUAACGAGAAGUAGGGCGGGACACGUGAUAUCCUGUUUGAAGAUGGGGGGACCAUCCUCCAAGGCUAAAUACUCCUGAUUGACCGAUAGUGAACCAGUACUGUGAAGGAAAGGCGAAAAGAACCCCGGUGAGGGGAGUGAAAUAGAACCUGAAACCUUGUACGUACAAGCAGUGGGAGCCUGAAAGGGUGACUGCGUACCUUUUGUAUAAUGGGUCAGCGACUUAUAUUUUGUAGCGAGGUUAACCGAAUAGGGGAGCCGAAGGGAAACCGAGUCUUAACUGGGCGAAUAGUUGCAAGGUAUAGACCCGAAACCCGGUGAUCUAGCCAUGGGCAGGUUGAAGGUUGGGUAACACUAACUGGAGGACCGAACCGACUAAUGUUGAAAAAUUAGCGGAUGACUUGUGGCUGGGGGUGAAAGGCCAAUCAAACCGGGAGAUAGCUGGUUCUCCCCGAAAUCUAUUUAGGUAGAGCCUUGAGCGGACACCUUUGGGGGUAGAGCACUGUUUCGGCUAGGGGUCCAUCCCGGAUUACCAACCCGAUGCAAACUACGAAUACCAAAGAGUGAUACUCAGGAGACACACGGCGGGUGCUAACGUCCGUCGUGGAGAGGGAAACAACCCAGACCGCCAGCUAAGGUCCCAAAGUCUAUAUUAAGUGGGAAACGAAGUGGGAAGGCUUAGACAGCUAGGAUGUUGGCUUAGAAGCAGCCAUCAUUUAAAGAAAGCGUAAUAGCUCACUAGUCGAGUCGGCCUGCGCGGAAGAUGUAACGGGGCUGAAAUAUAGCACCGAAGCUGCGGCAUCAGACGUAAGUCUGUUGGGUAGGGGAGCGUUGUGUAAGCGGAAGAAGGUGUGUUGAGAAGCAUGCUGGACGUAUCACAAGUGCGAAUGCUGACAUAAGUAACGAUAAAACGGGUGAAAAACCCGUUCGCCGGAAGACCAAGGGUUCCUGUCCAACGUUAAUCGGGGCAGGGUGAGUCGGCCCCUAAGGCGAGGCUGAAGAGCGUAGUCGAUGGGAAACAGGUUAAUAUUCCUGUACUUGGUAAAGCUGCGAUGUGGGGACGGAGUAGGUUAGGUUAUCGCACUGUUGGAUAUGUGCGUUUAAGUUGGUAGGUGGGAAGUUUAGGCAAAUCCGGACUUCCUUAACACUGAGAGAUGAUGACGAGGCUCUACGGAGCUGAAGUAACCGAUACCACACUUCCAGGAAAAGCCACUAAGCGAAAGGCUUUACUAAACCGUACUGAAAACCGACACAGGUGGUCAGGUAGAGAAUACUCAGGCGCUUGAGAGAACUCGGGUGAAGGAACUAGGCAAAAUAGCACCGUAACUUCGGGAGAAGGUGCGCCGGCGUAGAUUGUAAGGGCUAGCCCCUGAAGGUUGAACCGGUCGAAGAUACCAGCUGGCUGCAACUGUUUAUUAAAAACACAGCACUCUGCAAACACGAAAGUGGACGUAUAGGGUGUGAUGCCUGCCCGGUGCUGGAAGGUUAAUUGAUGGUGUAAUCGAAAGAGAAGCUCCUGAUCGAAGCCCCAGUAAACGGCGGCCGUAACUAUAACGGUCCUAAGGUAGCGAAAUUCCUUGUCGGGUAAGUUCCGACCUGCACGAAUGGC
This 1969-nucleotide ribosomal RNA is filed under the name human metagenome. RNAcentral's name for it is "bacterial LSU rRNA". It matches the Rfam family "Bacterial large subunit ribosomal RNA", at positions 1 to 2000 of the family's 2925-position model. The record is from RNAcentral.